UGGGGAAUUUUGGACAAUGGACGCAAGUCUGAUCCAGCCAUGCCGCGUGCGGGAAGAAGGCCUUCGGGUUGUAAACCGCUUUUGUCAGGGAAGAAACGAGUUUCUCUAAUACAGAGACUUAAUGACGGUACCUGAAGAAUAAGCACCGGCUAACUACGUGCCAGCAGCCGCGGUAAUACGUAGGGUGCGAGCGUUAAUCGGAAUUACUGGGCGUAAAGCGUGCGCAGGCGGUUAUACAAGACAGAUGUGAAAUCCCCGGGCUCAACCUGGGAACUGCAUUUGUGACUGUAUAGCUAGAGUACGGCAGCGGGGGAUGGAAUUCCGCGUGUAGCAGUGAAAUGCGUAGAUAUGCGGAGGAACACCGAUGGCGAAGGCAAUCCCCUGGGCCUGUACUGACGCUCAUGCACGAAAGCGUGGGGAGCAAACA
This 427-nucleotide ribosomal RNA is filed under the name uncultured bacterium. RNAcentral describes it as "bacterial SSU rRNA". It matches the Rfam family "Bacterial small subunit ribosomal RNA", at positions 355 to 774 of the family's 1533-position model. The record is from RNAcentral.